This 253-nucleotide ribosomal RNA is filed under the name uncultured bacterium. RNAcentral describes it as "partial 16S ribosomal RNA". It matches the Rfam family "Bacterial small subunit ribosomal RNA", at positions 524 to 776 of the family's 1533-position model. The record is from RNAcentral.
GACGAACCGUGCGAACGUUAUUCGGAAUCACUGGGCUUAAAGCGUGCGUAGGCGGCGCCAUAAGUUGGAGGUGAAAUCCUGCGGCUCAACCGUAGAAUUGCCCCCAAAACUGUGGCGCUUGAGGAAGGUAGGGGUCUGCGGAACUCUCGGUGGAGCGGUGAAAUGUGUUGAGAUCGUGAGGAACGCCAGCGGCGAAAGCGGCAGACUGGAUCUUUUCUGACGCUGAGGCACGAAAGCUAGGGUAGCGAACGGG